This 1133-nucleotide long non-coding RNA is filed under the name Nicotiana benthamiana. RNAcentral's name for it is "long non-coding RNA (NBEN_LNC027443)". The record is from RNAcentral. Lineage: Eukaryota; Viridiplantae; Streptophyta; Magnoliopsida; Solanales; Solanaceae.
UAUAACUGCUACUUGUUUUGAAAAUCGAUUUACGUUGGUAAAUCUCAUUUAUUUAUGUGUAAAAUACUCUGUAAAUCUUAAGAUAACAUAAUUCCACGUGUAAAUCUGCACACCGCAUUCAAAUACUCAACCCCUAUGGAUAUUUAGGUUUACAAAGUUGUUCCAAAUCCACAGAUUUUGAUAGAUAGACUUUAUGCUACUACAUUUUCGUUAAUUCCAUAACUAAUCUCAGAAACUUUUUUUUCUUCUUUUUUCUCUGUUGUUUAUCAAUGUCUACUCUCUGAUUUCAAGAAUCCAUUUUUAUUUCCAUGGCGUUGCCUCAAAUCUUACCUUCUUCUUCUUCUUCUUGCACUCACAAACCCCAGUUAAAUCCUUGUAAUUACUUUUUUACCCCACUAUCUAAUAACCCUAAGUGUCACUUUACUCCACAACCGCUCCUCCAUCGCCGCCGCCGCCGUAAUAAUUACACUCUUCGAUGCUCCGCCUUUUCUUUCCCGGAGAAAUACCACACCGGCAGUUCACCCAACUCUGACGACGUUGUUGAGCUUCCACUUUUUCCUCUCCCUCUCGUCCUCUUCCCUGGCGCAAUCCUCCCGCUCCAAAUCUUCGAGUUUCGUUACCGUAUAAUGAUGCAUACACUCCUCCAAACCGACCUCCGUUUCGGAGUUAUUUACUCCGAUAGUGGAUGUUCGUUACCGUAUAAUGAUGCAUACACUCCUCCAAACCGACCUUCGUUUCGGAGUUAUUUACUCCGAUAGUGCUACCGGAACCGCCGACGUCGGCUGCGUAGGCGAAGUCGUUAAACACGAACGCCUAGUCGACGAACGGUUUUUUCUAAUCUGAAAAGGAGGCAACAGAUUUGCGACGGAAUUUAUUUCCGACGCCGUUUUCGUUUUUCGUUGGGAGUACGUUUGAAGGAGCCCCGCAGGAACAACAAGCGUUACUUGAGUUAGAAGAUACAGCUGUGAGAUUGAAAAGGGAAAAGGAAACAUUGAGGAAUACUUUGAAUUAUUUAACUGCUGCUUCUGCUGUUAAGGAUGUCUUCCCGUCUUCGGGAUGAAAAACGACUUAUUAGGUUGGUUACUUAUUAUUAAUGGAAAUCAUGGUUUCUGUAAUUUAUAUACAGAGUGAUG